GGGGGUGUAGCUCAGUGGUAGAGCGCGUGCUUUGCAUGUACGAGGCCCCUGGUUCAAUUCCUGGCACCUCCA
This 72-nucleotide transfer RNA is filed under the name Loxodonta africana (African savanna elephant). Its description in RNAcentral is "tRNA-Ala (TGC) (tRNA-Ala-TGC-7-1)". It matches the Rfam family "tRNA". Rfam says of the family: Transfer RNA (tRNA) molecules are approximately 80 nucleotides in length. Their secondary structure includes four short double-helical elements and three loops (D, anti-codon, and T loops). Further hydrogen bonds mediate the characteristic L-shaped molecular structure. tRNAs have two regions of fundamental functional importance: the anti-codon, which is responsible for specific mRNA codon recognition, and the 3' end, to which the tRNAs corresponding amino acid is attached (by aminoacyl-tRNA synthetases). tRNAs cope with the degeneracy of the genetic code in two manners: having more than one tRNA (with a specific anti-codon) for a particular amino acid; and 'wobble' base-pairing, i.e. permitting non-standard base-pairing at the 3rd anti-codon position. The record is from Rfam by way of RNAcentral. Lineage: Eukaryota; Metazoa; Chordata; Mammalia; Proboscidea; Elephantidae.